RNAcentral lists this ribosomal RNA (419 nucleotides) under uncultured organism. Its description in RNAcentral is "eukaryotic LSU rRNA". The stretch from base 44 to 197 matches the Rfam family "5.8S ribosomal RNA". The record is from RNAcentral.
CUUUUGUAAUUGCAAUCAGCGUCAGUAACAAAUUAAUACCCCCCCCUUUCAACAACGGAUCUCUUGGUUCUGGCAUCGAUGAAGAACGCAGCGAAAUGCGAUAAGUAGUGUGAAUUGCAGAAUUCAGUGAAUCAUCGAAUCUUUGAACGCACAUUGCGCCCUUUGGUAUUCCAAAGGGCAUGCCUGUUCGAGCGUCAUUUGUACCCUCAAGCUUUGCUUGGUGUUGGGCGUCUUGUCUCUAGCUUUGCUGGAGACUCGCCUUAAAGUAAUUGGCAGCCGGCCUACUGGUUUCGGAGCGCAGCACAAGUCGCACUCUCUAUCAGCAAAGGUCUAGCAUCCAUUAAGCCUUUUUUUCAACUUUUGACCUCGGAUCAGGUAGGGAUACCCGCUGAACUUAAGCAUAUCAAUAAGCGGAGGAA